This 1963-nucleotide long non-coding RNA is filed under the name Marmota monax (woodchuck). The record is from RNAcentral. Lineage: Eukaryota; Metazoa; Chordata; Mammalia; Rodentia; Sciuridae.
AGUAAUUUACUUUUGCUAUGGUAUUUUCUAAUAUUGUGAAACUGUCCCCAGCAUACUAAGGGUAGACUCAGGUACUGUGUUGGUGGGCAUGUUGAUUCUUUGGUCUUCCUGGCACUAUAAAAUAACCAACUGUGCCCUUCAUUAGGAAGGACAUCGUCACCUUCAUAUACAAUAGGAAAGCCUUACCAGUCUCCUACAUGGAUCACAAAAGGAAUGAAGAGUCUUGUGGCCCUCUGGACUUCAUAUUCAAAGUAGAGUUCUGCUGCAUCAGGUCUGAGUCUGCCCACUGGCAUUCUUAUCAACCUGCAUGUUUCCUUCUACCUCUUCCAGGAAGCCUGACAGCUGGACAGAUUGGGGAAGGACCUCACCAGACUCAUGAGUCUACAUUUCAAAUGAAAAGAGGAUAUAGUAAUGUUCAGUUUAAUAAAAUAGACCAACAACGACAUUUCCUGCAAAUCAGGGUCAGGAAACAGUACAUCUAUAUUAUGGUUUUCUGCCUAAUCUGUCUUUAUUUUAGUCUUUGUCCCACUUCCCUAGAAAUGAAUGAAGGUCAUUGUCACCAGAAUUUCCUCAUACGGAGACUGGAGACUUAGAGCUAAAGUGGGAUUGGCUGAAAUUUAAAUCUUCCUGAUGAGGUUUGAGGAGACACAACAGAGACUUGAAGAUCAAUUGGGGCAGAGGGACCCUGCUGGGGUUGGAGAUUGUGAGUAUGUAGUUUAUGAGGUUGGGCUCCAAGUUCCUAGAGGAGUGAACAGAAAUUAAAUCAUUCGCUAGAACAACACAGAGAUUUACUGUGGAUUUGGAUAUGCUUUGCUGCCCCUCUAUUGCUCUAAGAAUAGUUACAAAGCAGUAAUGGGAUUGCUCAGCUGGAAAGAUCAUAAGGGAAAAGUUGUUUUCUCUGAGGGGUUUCUUCUGGUUACCUGCAGUCAGGAGUAGCAGAGGGAUGUCCUUAAAGAAAGACACAUCUCUUGACUACAUCUCAUUUCUUUUAGAUGUGAACAUUAUCCAUCAGGGAGUAAUGUCAAGUGACAAUUCCUCUGGUGGUCACUGAAGAGUCCCUAAUGCAAGUCUUGGGCCCCUUUCACACUUCAGCUUUUAAAAAGUAUUUUCCUUCCAAAGCUGUUUCUUUGGAAAUAAAGAGCUAUGAGUCAUCUUUCUUUAGAACUGGGAGAGAAGAUUCACUUCUGCUAUAAUUAAGCAAUAAUUAUUAUUCUUUCCUCUGAGAGAGAACUCAGGGAGAUAAACAACUCCCAGAUAAAUAAGGCUUAGAGACUGUGGGCCAAGGCUUCUAUUGAUUCACAAAAUAUUUAUCUCUUUCUUCCUUCCAAAUUAAAAAAAAAAUGAUAGUAAUUAUUUUUAAAAAUGAUUCUUUUAUUUUCAGUCAUUUAAAAUUGUUAUUUUUCUACCCUAUGCAAAUAAUAAUUGCUUUUAUGGUCCUCGGGCAACUGUGGGGAGGAGGGACAUGUAGUGAGAGACUCAAGGAUCCUACUCACUCUUCUGGCAGCAUCUCUGAAGCAUACAGAAGUAUAAGUGGAUCUUGAACUUGAUAUACAGUAGGGGAAGGAAGGCUCGAUUAGGAUAUAAAAAGAUGGCAAGUUAUGUACCUUCCCAAAUUCCUCAAAUUGGGUGUUCUUCAUUCCUAAUCUAAUGUAUCUUUUCCACAUACUUGGAGGAGGGGAAAGGUUGACAAAAGAACAGAAGAGAGAAAGAGAAGAUGAAAAAGGAGAGAAUGAGGGAGAAGAGGAAGGAGAAGAAAAACUGAAAUGCAAACACAGAACCUUCUUUUAGUUGUCAGUGAGGGGAAAACUGGCAACACCUACAUAAUAAUGUAUUGUUGGUUUUAUUAAAUGAAUACCUGAUUGAAUUAAAACAAAUUUUUGAUAAAAUCUUUUGAUUUUAUACCUCAGCAGCAACUGCCAUCUUCCAAAUCACUUGAAAAAUAAAUCAUUCACUGCUUUUUGAC